UAGACCUUGAGAUAAAGCAGUGGGAGCAUAACUAUGGGCCACAGCCAGAUGGAAAGGUUAAGGCAGUGCCCUGCACUAUAGGUGGUGGCUAUGGGAGUUUGAGAGGUGGUGGCUAUCUGCGUUACUGUGGUGGUGGCUGUGGGAGUCUGAGAGGUGGUGGCUAUGGGAGUCUGAGAGGUGGUGGCUAUCUGCAUUACUAUGGUGUUGGCUGUGGGAGUCUCAGAGGUGGUGGCUAUGGGAGUUUGAGAGGUGGUGGCUAUCUGCAUUACUGUGGUGGUGGCUGUGGGAGUCUGAGAGGUGGUGGCUAUGGGAGUUUGAGAGGUGGUGGCUAUCUGCAUUACUGUGGUGUUGGCUGUGGGAGUCUGAGGGGUUUUGGCUAUGGGAGUCUGAGAGGUGGUGGCUAUCUGCAUUACUGUGGUGUUGGCUGUGGGAGUCUGAGAGGUGGUGGCUAUGGGAGUCUGAGAGGUGGUUACUAUCUGCGUUACCUUGGCAGUGGGAGUCUGAGAGGUGGUGGCUGUCUGCAUUACUGUGGUGUUGGCUAUGGGAGUCUGGGAGGUGGUGGCUAUCUGCAUUACUGUGGUGUUGGCAGUGGGAGUCUGAGGGGUUGUGGCUAUCUGCAUUACUGUGGUGAUGGCUAUGGGAGUCUGAGAGGUGGUGGCUAUGGGAGUCUGAGAGGUGGUGGCUAUCUGCAUUACUGUGGUGUUGGCAGUGGGAGUCUGAGAGGUGGUGGCUAUGGGAGUCUGAGAGGUGGUGGCUAUCUGCAUUACUGUGGUGUUAGCAGUGGGAGUCUGAGAGGUGGUGGCUAUCUGCAUUACUGUGGUGUUGGCAGUGGGAGUCUGAGAGGUGGUGGCUAUCUGCAUUACUGUGGUGUUGGCAGUGGGAGUCUGAGAGGUGGUGGCUAUGGGAGUCUGAGAGGUGGUGGCUAUCUGCAUUACUGUGGCGUUGGCAGUGGGAGUCUGAGAGGUGGUGGCUAUGGGAGUCUGAGAGGUGGUGGCUAUCUGCGUUACAGUGGCGUUGGCAGUGGGAGUCUGAGAGGUGGUGGCUAUCUGCGUUACUGUGGUGGUGGCUAUGGGAGUCUGAGAGGUGGGGGCUAUCUGGGUUACAGUGGUGUUGGCAGUGGGAGUCUGAGAGGUGGGGGCUAUCUGCAUUACUGUGGCGUUGGCUGUGGGAGUCUGAGGGGUGGUGGC
Clupea harengus (Atlantic herring) is the source of this 1187-nucleotide long non-coding RNA. Lineage: Eukaryota; Metazoa; Chordata; Actinopteri; Clupeiformes; Clupeidae. The record is from Ensembl.